UACGUAGGGUGCGAGCGUUAAUCGGAAUUACUGGGCGUAAAGCGUGCGUAGGCGGUUCCUCAAGUCCGUUGUGAAAGCCCCGGGCUCAACCUGGGAAUGGCAGUGGAAACUAGGGGACUGGAAUCUGGCAGAGGGGGGUGGAAUGCCGCGUGUAGCAGUGAAAUGCGUAGAGAUGCGGCGGAACACCGAUGGCGAAGGCAGCCCCCUGGGCCGAAACUGACGCUGAGGAGCGAAAGCGUGGGGAGCAAACAGG
Molecule: ribosomal RNA, 253 nt
Filed under: uncultured bacterium
Lineage: Bacteria
Description: partial 16S ribosomal RNA
Rfam family: Bacterial small subunit ribosomal RNA
Source: RNAcentral